AAAAAAAAAAAAAAAUCACAGAAGCCAAGACAAGUAUACUUCUAGAAGAGAAAAUGAACUUGGCACCAAAACUUUAUUCAUUCGCCUUAGAAAUUCUGCCACCAACCUACUAUAAAAACUGUCAUUAUCUCUCAAAGUCACAGUCCUGACAUCUGUUAAGUAAAGGUUUAUUUUACACUUCAAAAGUCAAUCUACACAGCUGACUAGACUCCUU
This 214-nucleotide long non-coding RNA is filed under the name Ictidomys tridecemlineatus (thirteen-lined ground squirrel). RNAcentral describes it as "lncRNA (ENSSTOG00000034660.1)". Lineage: Eukaryota; Metazoa; Chordata; Mammalia; Rodentia; Sciuridae. The record is from RNAcentral.